RNAcentral lists this ribosomal RNA (253 nucleotides) under uncultured bacterium. Its description in RNAcentral is "partial 16S ribosomal RNA". It matches the Rfam family "Bacterial small subunit ribosomal RNA", at positions 524 to 776 of the family's 1533-position model. The record is from RNAcentral.
GACAGAGGGGGCAAGCGUUGCUCGGAAUUACUGGGCGUAAAGGGCGCGUAGGCGGGAUGGCAAGUCGGUCGUGAAAUCCUUCGGCUCAACCGAAGAACGUCGAUCGAUACUGCUGUUCUUGAGGGUUGCAGAGGAGACUGGAAUUCCCGGUGUAGCGGUGAAAUGUGUAGAGAUCGGGAGGAACACCGCUGGCGAAGGCGGGUCUCUGGGCAAUUCCUGACGCUGGGGCGCGAAAGCGUGGGGAGCAAACGGG